Molecule: long non-coding RNA, 292 nt
Filed under: Nicotiana benthamiana
Lineage: Eukaryota; Viridiplantae; Streptophyta; Magnoliopsida; Solanales; Solanaceae
Description: long non-coding RNA (NBEN_LNC030815)
Source: RNAcentral
CUAUAUUAUAUGACAUGUAUGAUGUUGAAGUACGUAAAAGCUGACCCGAAUAUAAUCACUAGCCAAAAAGAUCAUGAAUGGAUUUAAAUUACCAAAAACAAGAAAGAUGGAAAAUUCCGUUUGGAGAAAAAAAAAGGUUUAAACUCUUCACUGUCACUGAGAAUAAAAUGGAAGACUCUAUUUAUAUCCAAUCAAACGGUUGUAAAUGUAACAAUUUUAGUUGGGAGAUAGGAGAAUAAUUAUUUGACAAUGAUGUCCGAUGUUCAUUUGGCCAAGUUGUGGGGAAAAAAAG